This 253-nucleotide ribosomal RNA is filed under the name uncultured bacterium. Its description in RNAcentral is "partial 16S ribosomal RNA". It matches the Rfam family "Bacterial small subunit ribosomal RNA", at positions 524 to 776 of the family's 1533-position model. The record is from RNAcentral.
GACGUAGGGCGCGAGCGUUGUCCGGAUUUAUUGGGCGUAAAGAGCUCGUAGGCGGCUCGUUGCGUCGGCUGUGAAAACCCGCAGCUCAAUUGUGGGCGUGCGGGCGAUACGGGCAGACUGGAGUACUGCAGGGGAGACUGGAAUUCCUGGUGUAGCGGUGGAAUGCGCAGAUAUCAGGAGGAACACCGGUGGCGAAGGCAGGUCUCUGGGCCACUACUGACGCUGAGAAGCGAAAGCAUGGGGAGCGAACAGG